Small nucleolar RNA from Lathyrus oleraceus (garden pea), 79 nucleotides. RefSeq annotates it as small nucleolar RNA snoR114. The transcript has a single exon. The record is from RefSeq and is a predicted model, not a curated record. Lineage: Eukaryota; Viridiplantae; Streptophyta; Magnoliopsida; Fabales; Fabaceae.
GAGCUGUGAUGAUAAGUAUUGUGAUGUUCGGUAACAUUACUUCUCCUGAAAUACUGGAUGAAAAUAUGCCUCUGAGCUC